RNAcentral lists this ribosomal RNA (301 nucleotides) under uncultured bacterium. Its description in RNAcentral is "partial 16S ribosomal RNA". It matches the Rfam family "Bacterial small subunit ribosomal RNA", at positions 509 to 807 of the family's 1533-position model. The record is from RNAcentral.
CAGUCGCCGCGGUAAUACAGAGGGUGCGAGCGUUAAUCGGAUUUACUGGGCGUAAAGCGUGCGUAGGCGUCUUUUUAAGUCGGAUGUGAAAUCCCUGAGCUUAACUUAGGAAUUGCAUUCGAUACUGGGAAGCUAGAGUAUGGGAGAGGAUGGUAGAAUUCCAGGUGUAGCGGUGAAAUGCGUAGAGAUCUGGAGGAAUACCGAUGGCGAAGGCAGCCAUCUGGCCUAAUACUGACGCUGAGGUACGAAAGCAUGGGGAGCAAACAGGAUUAGAUACCCCAGUAGUCCCUGUCUCUUAUAC